AUGGAACAGGAGCUGCCUCAUCAUGGUCAAGAGCAGGAGCAAGAUGAAACACAGUCAGAAAGUGGAGCAGAGGCAGAAGAAGAUGAUUUCAUACCAAGUCCACCCCAGCCAGGAACAACUUACCUUUCAUCUCAGUUUGGGUUUAGGGCCAGGAAAUCCUCUAGGUGUUUGAACAUGGAUGCAACAGACACAGUUGGUUGUUCAGUAAUGCAGGAUUCAGAUGAAGAUUACAUUCCACAUUUUGUUGAUUCAGACAUUGAUCUGCAAGAUGAUGAUGACUUAUUUGACAAGAAUGCUGAUUGUGACAAAGGCAAAGGUAAAGCAGUCCAAGAAGAAGCUGAUGAUCCUACUGAAGAUGUGGACAUGUGCUUGCCUUCAUCUGAUGAAGAUAAGGUUAAGCUAAAUUUCAAAAGUUUCAGAGAAGAGGACCUGGCUAAACCAGAGUUCAAAGUGGGUCAGACAUUUGCUAGUGUUGAGUUACUGAGGAGGGCUAUCAAGGAGUAUAGCUGCCAUGAAAGGGUUGACAUCAAGUGCCCUAGAAAUGAUAGGAAAAGAGUUAAAGGAAUUUGUGAAGAUGGGUGUCCAUGGUCUUUGUAUGCAUCAUUUGAUGGGAGAAUCAACUACUUCAUGAUCAAGAAGUAUAACCCAAAUCAUACCUGCAUAAAGAAAUAG
RNAcentral lists this ribosomal RNA (672 nucleotides) under Triticum aestivum (bread wheat). RNAcentral's name for it is "partial small subunit ribosomal RNA". Lineage: Eukaryota; Viridiplantae; Streptophyta; Magnoliopsida; Poales; Poaceae. The record is from RNAcentral.